UUACAGCCAUAUCAAGUUGAAACAGCGAUUCUCAUACGAUCACCGAAGUUAAGCAACACCGAGUCUGGUCAGUAAGUGGAUGGGUGACCGCUUGAAAAUACCAGGUGCUGUAAG
Acanthosepion pharaonis is the source of this 114-nucleotide non-coding RNA. Lineage: Eukaryota; Metazoa; Mollusca; Cephalopoda; Sepiida; Sepiidae. The record is from the annotation of a GenBank genome assembly.